GAGUUUGAUCCUGGCUCAGGAUGAACGCUAGCUACAGGCUUAACACAUGCAAGUCGAGGGGCAGCAUGAACUUAGCUUGCUAAGUUUGAUGGCGACCGGCGCACGGGUGAGUAACACGUAUCCAACCUGCCGAUGACUCGGGGAUAGCCUUUCGAAAGAAAGAUUAAUACCCGAUGGCAUAGUUCUUCCGCAUGGUAGAACUAUUAAAGAAUUUCGGUCAUCGAUGGGGAUGCGUUCCAUUAGGUUGUUGGCGGGGUAACGGCCCACCAAGCCUUCGAUGGAUAGGGGUUCUGAGAGGAAGGUCCCCCACAUUGGAACUGAGACACGGUCCAAACUCCUACGGGAGGCAGCUAUGAGGAAUAUUGGUCAAUGGACGAGAGUCUGAACCAGCCCAGUAGCGUGAAGGAUGACUGCCCUAUGGGAUGUAAACUUCUUUUAUACGGGAAUAAAGUGAGGCACGUGUGCCUUUUUGUAUGUACCGGAUGAAUAAGGAUCGGCUAACUCCGUGCCAGCAACCCCGGUAAUACGGAGGAUCCCAGCGUUUUCCGGAUUUAUUGGGGUUAAAGGGAGCCCAGGCCGACUCCUAAGACAGUUGUGAAAGGUUGCCCGCUCAACCCUUAAAAUACAGUUGAUAACAAGGGGUCUUGAGGACAGCAGAAGCCGGCGGGAAAUCGGGGUGUAGCCGGGAAAUUACUUAGAAAACACGAAGGAACUCCCCUUGUUAAGGCAGCUUUCUUGGACUGUUACUUACGCAGAUUCUCGAAAAAAUUGGGGAUUAAAAACGAUUUGGAAACCCCGGCGGGCCCCCCCGGAAAACAAUGAAUACCCCCCCGUUUUGUCAUAAUACACUAAGCGGGCCACGCCAAAAGUUUUUAAAAUUCCCCCUGGGGGGGCCCGCCGCCAACCCUUAAAACCCAAAAAAAAUUUCCGGGGGCCCCGCCCAAGCGGGGGAAACAUGUGGUUUAAUUCGAUGAUACGCGAGGACCCUUACCCGGGCUUGAAUGGCAACUGAAUGAUGUGGAGACAUGUCAGCCGCAAGCCAGUGGUGAAGGUUCUGCAUGGUUGUCGUCAGCUCGUGCCGUGAGGUGUCGGCUUAAGUGCCAUAACGAGCGCAACCCUUAUCGAUAGUUACCAUCAGGUUAUGCUGAGGACUCUGUCGAGACUGCCGUCGUAAGAUGUGAGAAAGGUGGGGAUGACGUCAAAUCAGCACGGCCCUUACGUCCGGGGCUACACACGUGUUACAAUGGGGGGUACAGAAGGCAGCUACACGGCGACGUGAUGCUAAUCCCGAAAGCCUCUCUCAGUUCGGAUUGGAGUCUGCAACCCGACUCCAUGAAGCUGGAUUCGCUAGUAAUCGCGCAUCAGCCACGGCGCGGUGAAUACGUUCCCGGGCCUUGUACACACCGCCCGUCAAGCCAUGAAAGCCGGGGGUACCUGAAGUGCGUAACCGCAAGGAGCGCCCUAGGGUAAAACUGGUGAUUGGGGCUAAGUCGUAACAAGGUAGCCGUAAGGGCGAAUUUGCGGCCGCGGUGUACAAUGCUGUGUGAAGUGGGCGACACUCGCCACCUUUU
This 1571-nucleotide ribosomal RNA is filed under the name uncultured bacterium. Its description in RNAcentral is "partial 16S ribosomal RNA". It matches the Rfam family "Bacterial small subunit ribosomal RNA". The record is from RNAcentral.